AUUGAACGCUGGCGGCAGGCCUAACACAUGCAAGUCGAGCGGAUGAAGGGAGCUUGCUCCUGGAUUCAGCGGCGGACGGGUGAGUAAUGCCUAGGAAUCUGCCUGGUAGUGGGGAUAACGUCCGGAAACGGGCGCUAAUACCGCAUACGUCCUGAGGGAGAAAGUGGGGGAUCUUCGGACCUCACGCUAUCCGAUGAGCCUAGGUCGGAUUAGCUAGUUGGGAGGGUAAAGGCCUACCAAGGCGACGAUCCGUAACUGGUCUGAGAGGGUGAUCAGUCACAUGGGAACUGAGAAACGGUCCAGACUCCUAAGGGAGGCAGCAGUGGGGAAUAUUGGACACUGGGCGAAAGCCUGAUCCAGCCAUGCCGCGUGUGUGAAGAAGGUCUUCGGAUUGUAAAGCACUUUAAGUUGGGAGAAAGGGCAGUAAGUUAAUACCUUGCUGUUUUGACGUUACCAACAGAAUAAGCACCGGCUAACUUCGU
RNAcentral lists this ribosomal RNA (482 nucleotides) under uncultured bacterium. RNAcentral describes it as "partial 16S ribosomal RNA". It matches the Rfam family "Bacterial small subunit ribosomal RNA", at positions 30 to 506 of the family's 1533-position model. The record is from RNAcentral.